Molecule: ribosomal RNA, 253 nt
Filed under: uncultured bacterium
Lineage: Bacteria
Description: partial 16S ribosomal RNA
Rfam family: Bacterial small subunit ribosomal RNA
Source: RNAcentral
UACAGGGGGGGCAAGCGUUGUUCGGAAUUACUGGGCGUAAAGCGUGCGCAGGCGGUUUUGUAAGCCAGAUGUGAAAUCCCCGGGCUUAACCUGGGAAUGGCAUUUGGGACUGCAAGGCUCGAGUGCGGCAGAGGAGACUGGAAUUCCUGGUGUAGCAGUGAAAUGCGCAGAUAUCAGGAGGAACACCGGUGGCGAAGGCGGCAUUCUGGACCGAUAUUGACGCUGAGGAGCGAAAGCCAGGGGAGCAAACGGG